CCUACGGGAGGCUGCAGUGGGGAAUAUUGGACAAUGGGGGGAACCCUGAUCCAGCCAUGCCGCGUGUGUGAAGAAGGCCCUCGGGUUGUAAAGCACUUUCAGUGAGGAAGAACGCCUGGUGGUUAAUACCCAUCAGGAAAGACAUCACUCACAGAAGAAGCACCGGCUAACUCCGUGCCAGCAGCCGCGGUAAUACGGAGGGUGCGAGCGUUAAUCGGAAUUACUGGGCGUAAAGCGCGCGUAGGUGGCUUGACAAGCCGGUUGUGAAAGCCCCGGGCUCAACCUGGGAACGGCAUCCGGAACUGGCAAGCUAGAGUGCAGGAGAGGAAGGUAGAAUUCCCGGUGUAGCGGUGAAAUGCGUAGAGAUCGGGAGGAAUACCAGUGGCGAAGGCGGCCUUCUGGACUGACACUGACACUGAGGUGCGAAAGCGUGGGUAGCAAACAGGAUUAGAUACCCUGGUAGUC
This 465-nucleotide ribosomal RNA is filed under the name Vreelandella stevensii. RNAcentral's name for it is "partial 16S ribosomal RNA". It matches the Rfam family "Bacterial small subunit ribosomal RNA", at positions 338 to 795 of the family's 1533-position model. Lineage: Bacteria; Pseudomonadati; Pseudomonadota; Gammaproteobacteria; Oceanospirillales; Halomonadaceae. The record is from RNAcentral.